Molecule: long non-coding RNA, 447 nt
Organism: Pangasianodon hypophthalmus (striped catfish)
Lineage: Eukaryota; Metazoa; Chordata; Actinopteri; Siluriformes; Pangasiidae
Exons: 3
Source: RefSeq, a predicted model, not a curated record
GUUAGACAGUGUCAGUGUUGGUGAAACUCAGCAGCUCUAGUUUGUGUUGAGGGGAACAUAAGCCAUUUCAGGAGUAAAAACACAGGUUUGAUUUAACACAGCGAUGUUGGAGUGAAGUAAACGUGUGUCCUGCUGUAAUCUGGAGAAGGAGACAUGACCUCCAACAUGAGUGUGUCUGGAAAACAGGACUUUAAGAAAGAGAGAAUGAUGGAGGGAAAGAGAUCAGACUCACCAGAACCCAGCUGUGUGUCCAUGAAGAGUGACUGGUCAAUGGAACUUCCAAUUAACUACAGAGACAGAGACAGUUCUACUGAUGUGAGGUCAGUAUAGUGAGGUGUUUUACAGCAGUGUUCCACCUGAUCAAACUCACUCGCCUCAUUAUGAAGCCCUUCAUGAGCUUUAUCAGGUGUUGAAGCAGUAAAACACUAAACUGUACAGUGUUGCAGC